GCCCAGGUGGCGGAAUUGGUAGACGCGCUGCGUUCAGGUCGCAGUGACCGCAAGGUCGUGGAAGUUCGAGUCUUCUCCUGGGCACCA
This 87-nucleotide transfer RNA is filed under the name Hyphococcus sp. RNAcentral's name for it is "tRNA-Leu". It matches the Rfam family "tRNA". Rfam says of the family: Transfer RNA (tRNA) molecules are approximately 80 nucleotides in length. Their secondary structure includes four short double-helical elements and three loops (D, anti-codon, and T loops). Further hydrogen bonds mediate the characteristic L-shaped molecular structure. tRNAs have two regions of fundamental functional importance: the anti-codon, which is responsible for specific mRNA codon recognition, and the 3' end, to which the tRNAs corresponding amino acid is attached (by aminoacyl-tRNA synthetases). tRNAs cope with the degeneracy of the genetic code in two manners: having more than one tRNA (with a specific anti-codon) for a particular amino acid; and 'wobble' base-pairing, i.e. permitting non-standard base-pairing at the 3rd anti-codon position. The record is from RNAcentral. Lineage: Bacteria; Pseudomonadati; Pseudomonadota; Alphaproteobacteria; Parvularculales; Parvularculaceae.